Molecule: ribosomal RNA, 1039 nt
Filed under: Proteocephalus torulosus
Lineage: Eukaryota; Metazoa; Platyhelminthes; Cestoda; Proteocephalidea; Proteocephalidae
Description: bacterial SSU rRNA
Rfam family: Eukaryotic small subunit ribosomal RNA
Source: RNAcentral
CUGGUUGAUCCUGCCAGUAGUCAUAUGCUUGUCUCAAAGAUUAAGCCAUGCAUGUCUCAGUGCACGCCUUUAUACGGUGAAACCGCGAAUGGCUCAUUAAAUCAGCUAUGGUUUAUUGGAUCAUACCCGUUAAAUGGAUAACUGUAAUAACUCUAGAGCUAAUACAUGCCAUUAUGCCCUGACCCUCACGGGAAUGGGUGCACUUAUUAGAUCAGAAGUCAACCGUGUAUAGCCGCAAGGCUAUGCAUGUUGACCUUCUGGUGACUCUGGAUAAUUGUUACAGAUCGCAGUCGGCCCUGAGUCGGCGACGGGUCCUUCAAAUGUCUGCCCUAUCAACUUUCGAUGGUAGGUGACCUGCCUACCAUGGUGAUAACGGGUAACGGGGAAUCAGGGUUCGAUUCCGGAGAAGGAGCCUGAGAAACGGCUACCACUUCCAAGGGAGGCAGCAGGCGCGCAAAUUACCCACUCCCAGUACGGGGAGGUGGUGACGAAAAAUACCUAUGCGGGACUCUUAACGAGGCUCCGUAAUCGGAAUGAGUGAACUAUAAAUCCUUCCACGAGGAUCAAUUGGAGGGCAAGUCUGGUGCCAGCAGCCGCGGUAACUCCAGCUCCAAUAGCGUAUAUUAAAGUUGCUGCAGUUAAAAAGCUCGUAGUUGGAUCUCGGUAUCACUGUUGCUCGUCAGUCCUUAGGCGGUUGGCUGCGUGUGCAUGGGUUUGACUCGUGUUACCGUGGUCGGCCGUCCGAGUUGGCGGUGUGACGGUGUCGCCUUUCAGCCAUGUCUGUGGUGGGAUACCCGCAGGUGUAGGCGAGUGUCAGGCGGUGCCUUGCGAAAGCAGGGCUCGUCGGUUCGUCUGCAUGCCUUUGGAUGCCCUUUAAAAGGUGUCUGUGGGCGGAUGGCACGUUUACUUUGAACAAAUUUGAGUGCUCAAACCAGGCCGAUGUUGCCUGAAAAGUUUUGCAUGGAAUAAUGGAAUAGGACUUCGGUUCUAUUUCGUUAGUUUCGGAUCCGAAGUAAAGAUCAAAAGAGACAGGCGGGGG